Pleuronectes platessa (European plaice) is the source of this 264-nucleotide long non-coding RNA. RefSeq lists it as uncharacterized. NCBI's taxonomy places the organism in Eukaryota, Metazoa, Chordata, Actinopteri, Pleuronectiformes, Pleuronectidae. The transcript is spliced from 3 exons. The record is from RefSeq and is a predicted model, not a curated record.
UAAGUUUGGUGCUCCAAAAAGGCUUCUCACGGACCAAGGAAGAGAAUUUGUUAAUACGCUCAACUAUAAUGUCUGUGAGAAGCUUGGCAUUAAGAGAAGUCUCUGCUCUCCCUACCACCCCCAGACCAACGGCUUGGUGGAAAAAAUGAACGGAACUAUUCAGAGGACCUUGACCAAAUUGGUGGGGGAAAAGCCAAACACCUGGGAUGGCCACCUCCAAGCAACCCUUUUUGCUUUAAGGACGAAGAAGCAAUUGACCACCAG